Molecule: non-coding RNA, 72 nt
Organism: Chionomys nivalis (European snow vole)
Lineage: Eukaryota; Metazoa; Chordata; Mammalia; Rodentia; Cricetidae
Source: the annotation of a RefSeq genome assembly
GGAGGUGUAGCUCAGUGGUAGAGUGCUUGUCUAGCAUGCAUGAGGCCCUGGGUUCAAUCCCCGGCACUGCCA